Molecule: ribosomal RNA, 465 nt
Filed under: uncultured bacterium
Lineage: Bacteria
Description: partial 16S ribosomal RNA
Rfam family: Bacterial small subunit ribosomal RNA
Source: RNAcentral
CUACGGGCCGCUGCAGUGGGGAAUAUUGGACAAUGGGGGAAACCCUGAUCCAGCAAUGCCGCGUGUGUGAAGAAGGCCUGCGGGUUGUAAAGCACUUUCGGUUGGGAGGACUGCUUCUAGCACUAAUAUUGUUGGAAGUUGACGUUACCUUCAGAAGAAGCACCUGCUAACUCAGUGCCAGCAGCCGCGGUAAUACUGAGGGUGCAAGCGUUAAUCGGAAUUACUGGGCGUAAAGCGCGCGUAGGUGGUUAGAUCAGUUGGGUGUGAAAGCCCCGGGCUUAACUUGGGAACUGCAUCCGAUACUGUCUAGCUUGAGUACAGGAGAGGAGAGUUGAAUUCCACAUGUAGCGGUGAAAUGCGUAGAUAUGUGGAGGAACACCAAUGGCGAAGGCAGCUCUCUGGCCUGAUACUGACGCUGAGGUGCGAAAGCGUGGGGAGCAAACAGGAUUAGAUACCCCAGUAGUC